GAACGCCGUAUGCGGUGAAAGCUGCACGUACGGUGUAGACCGGUCGAAAUCCAUGGCAGGAUAGACACGGAAU
Molecule: non-coding RNA, 73 nt
Organism: Sporosarcina sp. P33
Lineage: Bacteria; Bacillati; Bacillota; Bacilli; Caryophanales; Caryophanaceae
Source: Rfam